UGGCGCAGAACGGGGAGCACACGGAGAAGAAGAAGCUCAAGUGGUCGCUCUCCAAACAGGACCCGAUGCAGACGGUGGUGGAGGACCAGCUAUUGGCCAGCAAAAGGUCCAAACUGACGAGGCGGCGCUCCUCUGGCAACUUGGGCGACAUUGAGAAGAAACUUGAACAGAUCCGACAGAACGGGCAAAAUCGCCACACCCUUUCACAUGUGGAAGACAAGCUCUGUGAGAUGUUCCGGGCUAGCGACAAGUCGGGAAGAGUCAACGUCACCAAAUUCCUGGAGGCACUGGCACUGGCCGGCCUGCGGCAGACGGACCCGCGUCUGGUCGAAAUGAGACGUGCCAUCGCCAGCAUCCAGGCCAACUGCGCCAGCGACGUACGCUUCUGGGCCUCCGACGGACUCUGCUUCGAUGAGGACGUGUUUAAGGGUGUCAUCAUGGACAAUAUUGACAUCAUCCACAAGGCAUUGACGGGUGAUCUCGUGAUUCCGCACUUCGAGAGUCUCUGCGAGCACCUCGAGGAGCUGUACGAACUCUGCGAGAAGGACGAUAGCGGAAAGGUGGCCUCCUACAUCCCGCAGCUGGAGCGCUUCGACCCGUCGCUCUGGGGCAUCUCGGUGUGCACCGUCGACGGGCAGCGGUACUCCAUCGGUGACGUCAGCGUGCCCUUCACCAUCCAGUCGACCAGCAAGCCCAUCAGCUACGCCAUCGCCUGCGCCGAGAAGGGACCCGAAUACGUGCACAGUUUCGUCGGUCAGGAGCCGAGCGGUCGCAGCUUCAACGAGCUGGUGCUGGACAACAGUCUGAAGCCGCACAACCCCAUGAUCAAUGCUGGCGCUAUCAUGACGUCAUCGCUGAUUAAGCCGACAAUGGCGAUCGCGGACCGGUUCGACUUCGUCUUCCAGACGUACCGCCGACUGACCGGCGGCGAGUACCUGGGCUUCAACAACGCCGUGUACCUGUCGGAGCGGCAGGCCGCCGACAGAAACUUCGCACUGGCCUACUUCAUGCGCGAGAACAAGUGCUUCCCACACGUCCAGGAUCUCGGCGAGACGCUGGACUUCUACUUCCAGAUGUGCUCGCUGGAGGCCACGUGUGAGUCGGCAUCGGUGAUCGCCGGCACCCUAGCCAACGGCGGCAUCUGCCCCAUCACCGGCGAGGCCGUGCUGGAGCCUUCAGCCGUCCGCAACACCCUCUGUCUCAUGCACAGCUGCGGCAUGUACGACUACAGCGGACAGUUCGCCUUCAAGUGUGGCCUGCCGGCCAAGUCAGGCGUGUCGGGCGUGAUCCUGCUGGUGAUCCCGAACGUGAUGGGUCUCGCCCUCUACUCGCCCGCCCUGGACCGCUGCGGAAACUCGGUGCGCGGCGUCAAGCUCUGCAAGGAACUCGUGUACCGCUUCAACUUCCACCACUUCGACAACGUCUCGGCGAGCGGCGAGAAGAUCGAUCCGCGCAAGACAAGCAACGAGAAGCGGGCUGACAUGGUACACCGCCUGCUGUUCGCCGCCGCCGCCGGCGACCUCACCGCCAUCAAGCGCUACAGCCUGAUGGAGAUGCACCUGGAGGCGGCCGACUACGACGGACGGACGGCGCUCCACCUGGCGGCCGCCGAGGGACAUGUUCACAUCGUCAGAUUCCUCCUGCAAAAAUGCAGUGUUCUGGUCGACGCCAAGGACCGCUGGGGCAGCGCUCCGGUCGACGAUGCUCAACUUGCUGGUCAUGAAGAUAUCACCAAGCUGCUGCUGAAGCACUACGUAGAGAGCGGCAUCACCAUCCCCGACUCGUUCCAGCCCGGCGAGGUGAAGCUCAACAACCUUAACAGCAAGAUGAAAGACACCGUCAUCACCGAGAAGCCCAAGAAGCAGGGCACGAAGGAGCGUAACUCGAGCGACGAGAACGCGCCGGUCGUGAAGUAGGUGACGACGGCGGUGGGGAGGUCGGUGAAGUAGGUGACGACGGCAGUGGGGAGGUCGGUGAAGUAGGUGACGACGGCAGUGGGGAGGUCGGUGAAGAAUGAGCAGGCGAAGAUGAAAAGACCACUAAAGUUGCGGGACGCGAUGCCGAAGAUAUGGCCACAGUUGUGGGAGAUGAUGUCGAAGAGCGCGAUGAAUUAGUGGGGAUAGAGCUCGUCUUGAUAGUGGAGCACGGAUCUUGUGGAGCCUUGCCAGAACCCUGCGUGCUCUGUUGGAAGUAUGGCAACGCCUCACCAUUGGAUGCACCGCUUGCCUUUGAUGACUCUAGGAGAUAUCCACACAACUGUCGGCGAUGCUGUUCACAGGACGCCGAAGGUGUCAUUGUCUGGUGAAUACUUUACAGCGUUUAGACGGCUGCUCCCGGUGGUGGUGGGACAAUAUGGCGGAAACGGCAGACGCAGGUAGCGUCGUUAGGAACACCAGCGGAUACAUGAUGUAGCUGUGCAUGAUACGGAGCUCUGAGGUCACUGAAGGUGCGAGAUGCGUUGAGAGACGUCACGUCAAACGUCAACCAUUGGAAACGUCACGGCUCAACUCCGAUGAACAGGUUCGACGAACAGAAUGAACAGGGCGAAAGAAGACCAUUCAUGCUUAAGAGUGCAUUCCUGACAAAUGAUUCACACCGGCAGAGAAUGCACCAACUUCAGUGGUCGAGUAAUGCACAGGCAUAGUAAAUGAUAGAAUUAUGUGUGUGAUGAAUGCACUUUCAUUUCGAGAGAUAAUUUUAGAAACAGGAUGGCUAACGAAGCCUAUUGCUCAGGGAAACUGUUAACCUAUGGGAGAUAGGUUCUUGGAGACAGCGGUUUUGCAGAAGACUGUCGCGAUAAAUGUGUUACAAGCCAUGAAUGGCAUGCAAUCAUGCACCGAUAGGUGUGAUGUUACCCGGCUUAAUUGCUUUUUCCAGUCGCAUCCGUCCAUAAAAAUUCAGUAACCUGUCCUUAAAUGGGACUGCCUGAAAAAGGAAGCACUUGCAGAAUGUUACAAUCGAUUCGUCAAGCGAGACAACCUUUGCUUCACUACCCAGAGAGAGUGUUCUAAGCAGCCUAUCAUCUUUUGCCUCUGAUUGAGCUACUACCACAUGCACCAAUAUGUGUGAUGUUACGAGGCCUAAUUGCUUUUUCCAGUCGUACCCGUCUCUAAAAAUCCAGUACCUUGUCCUUAAAUGGAAGUGUCUGAAAAAGGAGGCAUUUUCAGAAUGUUACAGUGGAUUCGUCCAGCGAGAUAACCUUUGCUUGACACCAGGAGAGAGUGUUCUAAACAGCCUAUCAUCCUUUGCCUCUGAUUGAGCUAUUACCACUUGUUUUUAAGGAAUAUAACUCUAUCUGAGGAAUUCAGCAGUACCCAGUUUUGUUAUAUCUGGCUAAAGAGGGGCUUUCGAAGUCAGGUGGGCGCUUAUACUUGGGAUCAGAAGGUUGAGGCAGCUAGGGCGACGUGUAGCUUAUGAAAGCAAGCGUUGAAAUGGAAAUCGAUCUCCUAGACUAGAAUAACGUCUACGACGCCUACCGCCUAAGCCCCGCCGUGAGAUGAUUGAAAUAUUUUCAGUAUGGUUAUUCAAAUACACAUUUUCAGUGAGUCUUCAUACUGCUUACGAUAUACACAUACACACACCAUCGGCGCAACGGGGAGUCUUCGUUAGCAGUUUUGUGACACGUACACUGCAUGAUACGAAGUCAUCAAAUUGAGUUCUGGAAAAAAGUGUAAGCUUUGUUGAUGUUACACGAAUCACGCACUGCGCGUUUUGGAUAGGGAUUAUUUUAGGGCUCAAGUGUCGGGCCGUUGCUACAUGACUGUACAUCAGUCUGCGUGCACACCUCACAGUUCACAAAGUGCAGACCCUGCCGGAGCACGCCACCUUUAUCGAAAUAAAAGAAAACGCGCUUUGACAGUGUUCCUGACCCGCACUGGAGCACCGGCUAGUCAGCGGUCAAGUGCUGUGUGAGCACACAGUUACCAUUAUUCGUUACACACUGGAAGCUUAGGCGCUCUGGGCUGCGUUGUGUUCUAACUGAAGGAACACAGUUACCCCUGCAUAAUACAAACCAAACGUCAAUACAGACAUGUUUCAAAACAUUUUCGGGUAUAAGAAAGGUGUACCUAACUUUGUCAUAAAUAGCGGCAAAUUUCAAGCUCGUCAUACAUAGAUAAGCAAACGUCAGGAUAGAAAAAUGUGGAGGCUCGCAUACGCUCCGUAUUCAGGCUUACAAUUUUGCUGUCCCAGAUGCUGAUAUAAUGCUAUGCCCACCACAAGGACGUUACCAAGCAUCAUCUCAGGACUGGAGAGAGCAAAAUUAAAUCUGAGAUGGCAGCCUGAUCUGAAAAUGACAUCAUAAAUCGCAAAAUAUAAAAAGAUGUCUUCUACGGAAAAAUACAAGUGUUGCUUAGCAAGGAUGAGACAGCGAUGUAGAAGAAAAUGAGUUUUCCUAUUCGUGCCGUACGAUCUACGCCUCUCGCACUGGACCGUCUGCAUCUCCAGAACUUCAAAUAAGACAAAGCCGUUGCGUCGAAAUUUGUGGGGUUUAUUUGCAAGCAGUGUAUACAUUACCACACUUUGCCACGCAAGUCGCGGCCUGCGAUACCGGCUGCGCCUCCGAGGGCAUUUACGAAUAGGAAGAUUCGCAUUGCAUUGCUAUGUUAACACUGUUCGCAUCGGCCACUUGGGCACAGGGUUGGCUUGGCCGCAGUUAACGACCGCCUAGCAAAAAAGACGUUAAAACGCAGACGGGGCAGAUGCAGCAAUGCUCAUAUAUAUACACAUUUCGUACCUACUUGAACUGUUGGAGUAGGUUUGCGAUGAAACCUGUACACACCAUCCACUCGUUCAUUUUCCGAUUCCUUCACGAUAUUGACCCGCAUGAAAAGCAGACGACCACGCGUAUCUCCAAACUCGAGUAUCGGCGGUAGAAGAUAACUGAGAUGUCACGUGCCGCAGUGCAAUGCGGUUCUUGCUGACGUCACUUCAAGUCUUGUCCCCUAAGCCUGGAAUCAGACGCUGAAAGUUUGAGAGGGCGCAGUAUCUACAACCUUGGUUAGGAAGCCAACUUUGUUGAUAGAUGCGACGGUAGACUGAGCGGUGCCGCUGCUGGCCUGGUCCCACAUGGCUUCAUGGCUCUGGCCGGAUAUGACGUGGCAAGCUGGGUCUCACGUCACGGAGCUAUUUUGAUUUGAAAUUGGACCGACCGUCCAGCCCUGAGUCAGUCCCGCUUCCAAACUCAACGAUGUAGUCAUUUUUGGGAUCGAAGGUCACGUCGUCGUCCUGCUUGCAAGUAACGUCACCGUUCGGCCCGUGUGUGACGCCAUCGUCCAAGUCGUGUGUCAUGUCAGUGCCCUGCUCGGGAGCCGGAACCAUUUCAUCUUGGUACCCGACGUUGUCGCCGAUCUCAAAAGCACCAUCGCCGUUCAGCUCCAAAAUACGGUCAUGGGAUGGCUCGCUAGCGACAGGAUCCCCUUCGCCGGUGACGUCACCACUCUCCUCGGGUAUGACGUCACGGUCGCGUGCCGCCCCCGAGGCGUGGGCCGCCGUGCC
RNAcentral lists this unclassified non-coding RNA (5496 nucleotides) under Pollicipes pollicipes. RNAcentral's name for it is "glutaminase kidney isoform, mitochondrial-like, transcript variant X1". Lineage: Eukaryota; Metazoa; Arthropoda; Thecostraca; Pollicipedomorpha; Pollicipedidae. The record is from RNAcentral.